RNAcentral lists this ribosomal RNA (443 nucleotides) under uncultured bacterium. RNAcentral describes it as "partial 16S ribosomal RNA". It matches the Rfam family "Bacterial small subunit ribosomal RNA", at positions 338 to 795 of the family's 1533-position model. The record is from RNAcentral.
CCUACGGGAGGCAGCAGUGGGGAAUAUUCGGCAAUGGACGAAACUCUGACCCAGCAACGCCGCGUGGAUGAUGAAGGUCUUCGGAUUGUAAAGUUCUUUUUUAAGGGAAGAAAAAGGUUACGGUACAUUGUGCAUGAGUCUCCGCUAUCUACGUGCCAGCAGCCGCGGUAAUACGUAGGAGGCAAGCGUUAUCCGGAUUGACUGGGCGUAAAGGGUGCGUAGGUGGUUUGAAAAGUUAGUAGCGCAACUCCGGAGCUUAACUUCGGAAGUACUUCUGAAACUGUGGGACUUGAGUGCAGGAGGGGAGAGCGGAAUUCCGUGUGUAGCGGUGGAAUGCGUAGAUAUUAGGAAGAACACCAGUGGCGAAGGCGGAUCGCUGGACUGUAACUGACACUGAGGCACGAAAGCGUGGGUAGCAAACAGGAUUAGAUACCCUAGUAGUC